GCACCGUAGUGCCCAUCCGGAUCCAUUGUAAUGAGCUGCCUCCAGUGCGCCCAUAGGGUGGGAACAAGGACCACCUAAGGGGGAAGAAUAGAGAAUAGGAUAGAAUAAACAAUAUAGGGGAUGGAUGGGAUCUAUAGGGAUGGAUGGGACACAUAGGGAUGGAUGGGACACAUAGGGAUGGAUGGGACACAUAGGGGAUGGAUGGGACACAUAGGGAUGGAUGGGAUCUAUAGGGGAAGGAUGGGACCCAUAGGGAUGGAAGGGAAACAUAGGGAUGAAGAGAGAGACACAUAGGAGAAUGAAUGGGAUCUAUAGGGGAAUGGAUGGAUCCUAUAG
RNAcentral lists this long non-coding RNA (336 nucleotides) under Coturnix japonica (Japanese quail). Its description in RNAcentral is "lncRNA (ENSCJPG00005002449.1)". Lineage: Eukaryota; Metazoa; Chordata; Aves; Galliformes; Phasianidae. The record is from RNAcentral.